UGAGUACGAGCUGCUACGGCAGCGAAGUGGGUGAUGUCAAGCUUCCAAGAAAAGCCCUAUACCCGUUAAGGCAUGACGGCCUGUACCCGAAACCGACACAGGUGGGGUGGUAGAGAAUACCGAGGGGCGCGAGAUAACUCUCUCUAAGGAACUCGGCAAAAUGGCCCCGUAACUUCGGGAGAAGGGGUGCCACCGCAAGGUGGUCGCAGUGAAGAGGCCCAGGCGACUGUUUACCAAAAACACAGGUCUCCGCUAAGUCGCAAGACGAUGUAUGGGGGCUGACGCCUGCCCAGUGCCGGAAGGUUAAGGAAGCUGGUCAGCGCAAGCGAAGCUGGCGACUGAAGCCCCGGUGAACGGCGGCCGUAACUAUAACGGUCCUAAGGUAGCGAAAUUCCUUGUCGGGUAAGUUCCGACCCGCACGAAAGGCGUAACGAUCUGGGCGCUGUCUCGGAGAGAGGCUCGGCGAAAUAGAAUUGUCUGUGAAGAUGCGGACUACGUGCACCCGGACAGAAAGACCCUAUGAAGCUUUACUGUAGCUUGGUAUUGUGCCCGGGCUCUGAAUGCGCAGGAUAGGUGGGAGGCUUUGAUCCAUUGCUUGCGGGUGAUGGUGAGCCAACGGUGAGAUACCACUCUUUCAGAGCUAGGGUUCUAACGGUCACCCGUUAUCCGGGGACCGGACAGUAUCAGGUGGGCAGUUUGGCUGGGGCGGUCGCCUCCUAAAAGGUAACGGAGGCGCGCAAAGGUUCCCUCAGGCUGGUUGGAAAUCAGCCGACGAGUGUAAAGGCAGAAGGGAGCUUGACUGUGAGACCUACAAGUCGAACAGGGACGAAAGUCGGCCUUAGUGAUCCGACGGUUCUGAGUGGAAGGGCCGUCGCUCAACGGAUAAAAGUUACUCUAGGAUAACAGGCUGAUCUCCCCCAAGAGUUCACAUCGACGGGGAGGUUUGGCACCUCGAUGUCGGCUCAUCGCAACCUGGGGCUGAAGUCGGUCCCAAGGGUUGGGCUGUUCGCCCAUUAAAGCGGUACGCGAGCUGGGUUCAGAACGUCGUGAGACAGUUCGGUCCAAAUCCGGUGCAUGCGCAGGAACAUUGAGAGGAUUUCUCCCUAGUACGAGAGGACCGGGAGGAACGCACCUCUGGUGUACCAGUUAUCGUGCCAACGGUAAACGCUGGGUAGCCAUGUGCGGAGCGGAUAACCGCUGAAAGCAUCUAAGUGGGAAGCCCACCUCAAGAUGAGUGUUCCCAUGGCAUAAGCCAGUAAGGUCACGGGAAGAACACCCGUUGAUAGGCUCUACGUGGAAGCGUGGCAACACGUGAAGCGGAGGAGUACUAAUAGACCGAGGGCUUGACC
Molecule: ribosomal RNA, 1349 nt
Filed under: metagenome
Description: bacterial LSU rRNA
Rfam family: Bacterial large subunit ribosomal RNA
Source: RNAcentral